UAUCAAGACAUGAUUUAAUUAGUGAGUACA
RNAcentral lists this non-coding RNA (30 nucleotides) under Rattus norvegicus (Norway rat). The record is from RNAcentral. Lineage: Eukaryota; Metazoa; Chordata; Mammalia; Rodentia; Muridae.